UCAACUUCAAGAAACCAGGAAAGAAUAAAAAAACACAACAAUCUUGUGAAAUGAUAUGUGUGUGGCAAAGCUAGAUACAAAGCAUAUCAACGCUCUGACCACCAAAAAAAAAACAAACCACAAGAAAAUCUAGUUGAAAAUCCAAAUAAGGUGAUAGAUGUUGUAGUUUUUGAAGUAAACCUGGUCGAGAAUAAUGUCGAGUGGAUUGUAGACACAAGCGCCUUCAAACAUUUCUGCGCUAACAGAAAAAUGUUCACUGAGUUUGAAAGUGUAGCUGAAGGUGAACAAGUCUACAUAGGUAACUCUAGUAACUCAGAAGUACUCAGUAAAGGAAAGAUUUUUCUCAAACUUACUUCUAGAAUAAUGUCCUUUAUGUACCUGCCCUAUGUAGGAAUUUAAUUAGUUGUGGAUUAUUGCAUAAGGCAGUCAUUAAACUAGUCUUUGAAUUCGAUAAACUUAUACUUUCC
Molecule: long non-coding RNA, 467 nt
Filed under: Gossypium barbadense (sea-island cotton)
Lineage: Eukaryota; Viridiplantae; Streptophyta; Magnoliopsida; Malvales; Malvaceae
Description: long non-coding RNA (GBAR_LNC003038)
Source: RNAcentral